RNAcentral lists this transfer RNA (70 nucleotides) under Triops sp. EPP1. RNAcentral describes it as "tRNA-Ser". It matches the Rfam family "tRNA". From Rfam's summary of the family: Transfer RNA (tRNA) molecules are approximately 80 nucleotides in length. Their secondary structure includes four short double-helical elements and three loops (D, anti-codon, and T loops). Lineage: Eukaryota; Metazoa; Arthropoda; Branchiopoda; Notostraca; Triopsidae. The record is from RNAcentral.
AGUUAUUUGGCUGAAAGGAAAGCACUUGUCUUGAAAACAAGUAACAAAGGUUCGACUCCUUUAAUAACUU